RNAcentral lists this long non-coding RNA (422 nucleotides) under Nicotiana benthamiana. RNAcentral describes it as "long non-coding RNA (NBEN_LNC024348)". Lineage: Eukaryota; Viridiplantae; Streptophyta; Magnoliopsida; Solanales; Solanaceae. The record is from RNAcentral.
UACGACGAAUGCAUAUAGACAAACUUAUCAAUAAUGUCUUCAUAUAUAUAGUUCUAACAAUUCCAAAAGAAAGGAUUAACAUUCCAUUUGUAUUGUAUUAUUUACACACCCCACGGGAAGAAAAUAAAUUAAUAUCAAUUGCAAAUAAAAUGAAUUGUUGUCUAUAGUUCUGGGCAAAUGAUAAUUAGCUUGUCAACUUGAAGUCUCCAAAAUCUGCAUCUUCACUUGUAAACCGAAGACUCAAGACCUGUGAGAAGUAUGAAAUGAAUUCACUUAAAAAACUAGAAUAAUAAAUAAGAAACAUUGGGUAACCAAUUGCGAGACCUACAUUAUUUCAUAAACAAUGAAUGAUGAAAGGUAACCAACCCCCACUUCCAACCGAGAGGUUGUGAGUUCGAGUCUCCCCAAGAGCAAAAGGUNNN